This 217-nucleotide ribosomal RNA is filed under the name uncultured bacterium. Its description in RNAcentral is "partial 16S ribosomal RNA". It matches the Rfam family "Bacterial small subunit ribosomal RNA", at positions 328 to 539 of the family's 1533-position model. The record is from RNAcentral.
ACGCUCGACACCUACGGGGGCAGCAGUGAGGAAUAUUGGUCAAUGGGCGCUAGCCUGAACCAGCCAAGUAGCGUGAAGGAUGAAGGCUCUAUGGGUCGUAAACUUCUUUUAUAUAAGAAUAAAGUGCAGUAUGUAUACUGUUUUGUAUGUAUUAUAUGAAUAAGGAUCGGCUAACUCCGUGUCAGCGGCCGCGGUAAUCUGAGCGGGCUGGCAAGGC